This is a small nuclear RNA of Panicum hallii, 156 nucleotides long. RefSeq annotates it as U1 spliceosomal RNA. The transcript has a single exon. NCBI's taxonomy places the organism in Eukaryota, Viridiplantae, Streptophyta, Magnoliopsida, Poales, Poaceae. The record is from RefSeq and is a predicted model, not a curated record.
AUACUUACCUGGACGGGGUCUAUGGGCGAUCAAAGAGGCUUGUGACCUGGACCAAUGGCCUGCAUUGCACUUGGCAGGCACGCUGGUCUACCAUCUCCCCGGGCGGGAGAGUGGACGUCAUAAUUUGUGGAAGAGGGGGUACGGCGCGGUCCCUAC